Molecule: long non-coding RNA, 379 nt
Filed under: Theobroma cacao (cacao)
Lineage: Eukaryota; Viridiplantae; Streptophyta; Magnoliopsida; Malvales; Malvaceae
Description: long non-coding RNA (TCAC_LNC000614)
Source: RNAcentral
AGACAAUGCACAAACACCGAACAUUCCCUGUUGUACCUCCAGACAUGUUGUGUAUGGUUCCAUGCCCGAAGUAGGGUUGGUUUACAACGGAUGGACAGGAAAGUAGCUUCUCCUAACCGCGAAGGGAAGAAGGGGAAAUCGGUGGCAAUGACAUAUAGGGGUUUGUGAGUCGGUGGAGUUUUUGAAAACGACGAAGUUAGUGGAUAACGGCUGGGACGCUCCUGCCCCACGUGGACGAACAUGCGCUUCCAUCCAACCCCACCCAUCAUCCCCGGACAGACCCUCUUGCAAGUUCAAUGAUAAAAUGAAGGGAAGGAUUUAAGAUUAGGAACAUAACUGUUAUUCAUUUAUGCGAAAUCAAAAUUCCUGAUGUACUGCC